RNAcentral lists this non-coding RNA (22 nucleotides) under Arabidopsis thaliana (thale cress). Lineage: Eukaryota; Viridiplantae; Streptophyta; Magnoliopsida; Brassicales; Brassicaceae. The record is from RNAcentral.
CUAUGGUAGAACACGACUAUGC